GACGAACGCUGGCGGCGUGCUUAACACAUGCAAGUCGAACGGAAAGGCCCUGCUUUUGUGGGGUGCUCGAGUGGCGAACGGGUGAGUAACACGUGAGUAACCUGCCCUUGACUUUGGGAUAACUUCAGGAAACUGGGGCUAAUACCGGAUAGGAGCUCCUGCUGCAUGGUGGGGGUUGGAAAGUUUCGGCGGUUGGGGAUGGACUCGCGGCUUAUCAGCUUGUUGGUGGGGUAGUGGCUUACCAAGGCUUUGACGGGUAGCCGGCCUGAGAGGGUGACCGGCCACAUUGGGACUGAGAUACGGCCCAGACUCCUACGGGAGGCAGCAGUGGGGAAUAUUGCACAAUGGGCGGAAGCCUGAUGCAGCAACGCCGCGUGCGGGAUGACGGCCUUCGGGUUGUAAACCGCUUUCGCCUGUGACGAAGCGUGAGUGACGGUAAUGGGUAAAGAAGCACCGGCUAACUACGUGCCAGCAGCCGCGGUGAUACGUAGGGUGCGAGCGUUGUCCGGAUUUAUUGGGCGUAAAGGGCUCGUAGGUGGUUGAUCGCGUCGGAAGUGUAAUCUUGGGGCUUAACCCUGAGCGUGCUUUCGAUACGGGUUGACUUGAGGAAGGUAGGGGAGAAUGGAAUUCCUGGUGGAGCGGUGGAAUGCGCAGAUAUCAGGAGGAACACCAGUGGCGAAGGCGGUUCUCUGGGCCUUUCCUGACGCUGAGGAGCGAAAGCGUGGGGAGCGAACAGGCUUAGAUACCCUGGUAGUCCACGCUGUAAACGGUGGGUACUAGGUGUGGGGUCCAUUCCACGGGUUCCGUGCCGUAGCUAACGCUUUAAGUACCCCGCCUGGGGAGUACGGACGCAAGGCUAAAACUCAAAGGAAUUGACGGGGCCCCGCACAAGCGGCGGAGCAUGCGGAUUAAUUCGAUGCAACGCGUAGAACCUUACCUGGGUUUGACAUGGAUCGGGAGUGCUCAGAGAUGGGUGUGCCUCUUUUGGGGUCGGUUCACAGGCGGUGCAUGGCUGCCGUCAGCUCGUGUCGUGAGAUGUUGGGUUAAGUCCCGCAACGAGCGCAACCCUUGUUCACUGUUGCCAGCACGUUAUGGUGGGGACUCAGUGGAGACCGCCGGGGUCAACUCGGAGGAAGGUGGGGAUGACGUCAAGUCAUCAUGCCCCUUAUGUCCAGGGCUUCACGCAUGCUACAAUGGCUGGUACAGAGAGUGGCGAGCCUGUGAGGGUGAGCGAAUCUCGGAAAGCCGGUCUCAGUUCGGAUUGGGGUCUGCAACUCGACCUCAUGAAGUCGGAGUCGCUAGUAAUCGCAGAUCAGCAACGCUGCGGUGAAUACGUUCCCGGG
Molecule: ribosomal RNA, 1343 nt
Filed under: uncultured bacterium
Lineage: Bacteria
Description: 16S ribosomal RNA
Rfam family: Bacterial small subunit ribosomal RNA
Source: RNAcentral